GAACUUCCGUUAAUUGAUUAUGACGUGCUUGCACUGAAUGAGAUUUUAACACGAAGUGAGUGGCGGACGGGUGAGUAACACGUGGGUAACCUGCCCAGAAGCAGGGGAUAACACCUGGAAACAGAUGCUAAUACCGUAUAACAGAGAAAACCGCCUGGUUUUCUUUUAAAAGAUGGCUCUGCUAUCACUUCUGGAUGGACCCGCGGCGCAUUAGCUAGUUGGUGAGGUAACGGCUCACCAAGGCGAUGAUGCGUAGCCGACCUGAGAGGGUAAUCGGCCACAUUGGGACUGAGACACGGCCCAGACUCCUACGGGAGGCAGCAGUAGGGAAUCUUCCACAAUGGACGCAAGUCUGAUGGAGCAACGCCGCGUGAGUGAAGAAGGGUUUCGGCUCGUAAAGCUCUGUUGUUAAAGAAGAACGUGGGUGAGAGUAACUGUUCACCCAGUGACGGUAUUUAACCAGAAAGCCACGGCUAACUACGUGCCAGCAGCCGCGGUAAUACGUAGGUGGCAAGCGUUAUCCGGAUUUAUUGGGCGUAAAGCGAGCGCAGGCGGUCUUUUAAGUCUAAUGUGAAAGCCUUCGGCUCAACCGAAGAAGUGCAUUGGAAACUGGGAGACUUGAGUGCAGAAGAGGACAGUGGAACUCCAUGUGUAGCGGUGAAAUGCGUAGAUAUAUGGAAAGAACACCAGUGGCGAAAGGCGGCUGUCUGGUCUGUAACUGACGCUGAGGCUCGAAAGCAUGGGUAGCGAACAGGAUUAGAUACCCUGGUAGUCCAUGCCGUAAACGAUGAUUACUAAGUGUUGGAGGGUUUCCGCCUUCAGUGCUGCAGCUAACGCAUUAAAGUAAUCCGCCUGGGGAGUACGACCGCAAGGGUUGAAACUCAAAAGAAUUGACGGGGGCCCGCACAAGCGGUGGAGCAUGUGGUUUAAUUCGAAGCUACGCGAAGAACCUUACCAGGUCUUGACAUCUUCUGCCAACCUAAGAGAUUAGGCGUUCCCUUCGGGGACAGAAUGACAGGUGGUGCAUGGUUGUCGUCAGCUCGUGUCGUGAGAUGUUGGGUUAAGUCCCGCAACGAGCGCAACCCUUAUUACUAGUUGCCAGCAUUCAGUUGGGCACUCUAGUGAGACUGCCGGUGACAAACCGGAGGAAGGUGGGGACGACGUCAAAUCAUCAUGCCCCUUAUGACCUGGGCUACACACGUGCUACAAUGGAUGGUACAACGAGUCGCGAAACCGCGAGGUUUAGCUAAUCUCUUAAAACCAUUCUCAGUUCGGACUGUAGGCUGCAACUCGCCUACACGAAGUCGGAAUCGCUAGUAAUCGCGGAUCAGCAUGCCGCGGUGAAUACGUUCCCGGGCCUUGUACACACCGCCCGUCACACCAUGAGAGUUUGUAACACCCAAAGCCGGUGGGGUAACCUUUAGGAGCUAGC
Molecule: ribosomal RNA, 1432 nt
Filed under: Pediococcus acidilactici
Lineage: Bacteria; Bacillati; Bacillota; Bacilli; Lactobacillales; Lactobacillaceae
Description: bacterial SSU rRNA
Rfam family: Bacterial small subunit ribosomal RNA
Source: RNAcentral